GCCGGUAUAGCUCAGAUGGUAGAGCAGCUAAUUCGUAAUUAGAAGGUCGGGGGUUCGAUUCCUCUUACCGGCA
RNAcentral lists this transfer RNA (73 nucleotides) under Pseudomonadota bacterium. RNAcentral describes it as "Proteobacteria bacterium (activated sludge metagenome) tRNA-Thr". It matches the Rfam family "tRNA". From Rfam's summary of the family: Transfer RNA (tRNA) molecules are approximately 80 nucleotides in length. Their secondary structure includes four short double-helical elements and three loops (D, anti-codon, and T loops). Further hydrogen bonds mediate the characteristic L-shaped molecular structure. tRNAs have two regions of fundamental functional importance: the anti-codon, which is responsible for specific mRNA codon recognition, and the 3' end, to which the tRNAs corresponding amino acid is attached (by aminoacyl-tRNA synthetases). tRNAs cope with the degeneracy of the genetic code in two manners: having more than one tRNA (with a specific anti-codon) for a particular amino acid; and 'wobble' base-pairing, i.e. permitting non-standard base-pairing at the 3rd anti-codon position. RNAcentral also lists the same sequence under 1 other name. The record is from RNAcentral. Lineage: Bacteria; Pseudomonadati; Pseudomonadota.